Molecule: ribosomal RNA, 253 nt
Filed under: uncultured bacterium
Lineage: Bacteria
Description: partial 16S ribosomal RNA
Rfam family: Bacterial small subunit ribosomal RNA
Source: RNAcentral
UACAGAGGGGGCAAGCGUUGUUCGGAAUUACUGGGCGUAAAGGGCGCGUAGGCGGCCUGUUAAGUCGAACGUGAAAUCCCCGGGCUCAACCCGGGAACUGCGUCCGAUACUGGCAGGCUUGAAUCCGGGAGAGGGAUGCGGAAUUCCAGGUGUAGCGGUGAAAUGCGUAGAUAUCUGGAGGAACACCGGUGGCGAAGGCGGCAUCCUGGACCGGCAUUGACGCCGAGGCGCGAAAGCCAGGGGAGCAAACGGG